Molecule: transfer RNA, 65 nt
Filed under: Kuphus sp. PMS-3700M
Lineage: Eukaryota; Metazoa; Mollusca; Bivalvia; Myida; Teredinidae
Description: tRNA-Pro
Source: RNAcentral
UAGGUUGUAGUUUAGUUAGAAUGUGGGCUUUGGGUGUCUAUGGUGCCCUGUGUGGGUCGACCUAA